CAAAUGUAGCUCAUUGGUAGAGCAUUCGACUGCUAAUCGAAGUGUCGCAGGUUCGACUCCUGCCAUUUAACCA
Molecule: transfer RNA, 73 nt
Filed under: Antarctobacter heliothermus
Lineage: Bacteria; Pseudomonadati; Pseudomonadota; Alphaproteobacteria; Rhodobacterales; Roseobacteraceae
Description: tRNA_Ser_GCT
Rfam family: tRNA
About the family: Transfer RNA (tRNA) molecules are approximately 80 nucleotides in length. Their secondary structure includes four short double-helical elements and three loops (D, anti-codon, and T loops).
Source: RNAcentral